This 1306-nucleotide long non-coding RNA is filed under the name Callithrix jacchus (white-tufted-ear marmoset). Its description in RNAcentral is "lncRNA (ENSCJAG00000052529.2)". Lineage: Eukaryota; Metazoa; Chordata; Mammalia; Primates; Cebidae. The record is from RNAcentral.
UAUUUAUUUUUCCUCUAUUCGACAUUAUAGUGCUGUUUUUCUUUCAUUGCCCAAGGUGGAAGCUAGAUUAUGAAUUUAGAUUUGAUUUUUCAAUGUUGAAGACAACAUUGAAGAUGAUGAGCUACCCCGUGACGUGGAGAAGCCUGCGGCCCGGUAUCACCACUGGUCUGUUGAGGUCCUACAGGACCUCACCUUAGAAGACAUUGAGGAUGAUGAGAUGCCGUCUGACAUGGACAUCGGGACAGCCACAAAUGACCUCUGUAAGUAUUCUUUAUCUUUUAAACUGCUUUAUUCUCACAUAGUUGACAUGCAAAACAAUUCACUUAUUUAAAGUGGGUGAGGUAGUGUUGUUACUAUAUUUACAGGGUUGUGCAGCCAUUGUUACAAUCUAAGUUUAAAAUCUUUUUAUUCCCCCUCAGAGAAAUCCUAUAGCCAUUAGUAGUCACUUCUUUUUUUUCCCAAGGCCCACACCCCUGGCCCUAGGCAGCUGCUAAGCUACUUUCUGUUUUUCUAGAUUUGCCUUCUCUGGCAAUUUCUUUUUUUAAUUAAAUUUGAUUUUAAUUUUUGGGAUACAUGUGCAGGACGUACAGCUUUGUUACACAGCUAAAAUUGUGGCAUGGUUUGCUGCACCUGUCAACCCAUCACCCAGGUAUUAAUCUCCGCAUACAUUAGCUUUUUAUUCUGAUGCUCUCCCGUCCACUUCCCCCACAGUGUGUGCUGUUCCCCUCUCUAACAUUGUACACAUUCUAAUAUCACUUUCUUCCUAAUGACAAAUCUAAGUGAUAAGUCAGGGGGAAUUUUCUUGCUUGCAUUUCUCUGGAGAACCUCCCUAGCUUCAGGUUCCUGAUAGGUGUGAGGAUCUAGGGCAUGCUGUCAGAAACAGAUGUCUCCAUGAAGAACUCAGCUCUAGACAGGAGAAUCUUCAUCAUGUCCUAUUGAUGCUACUUUUGAAAUAGGUUUUUGUUUCCUUCUGAAAACCUUUACACACAGAGAGCCAAGGUAGGUGCUUUAAGUCAUAAUGAAUGUCAAGUGGAACACAUGAUGGUUUGAGGGUUUUUUCUGGAGCACUCAUUCUGUGGAGAUGCAUCGCUUUUCAGUAAAAUUUGAUUGUCCCAUAUGUGUCAGUAUUUUCCCAAUGGAACAAAAGAAUGAAACUGUUUGAUUGUGCAAUGUCACUUGUUCACCCCAGAAGUGAUUUUCUCAUCACCAGAUUGUCCUAGACAUCUUUAAUCUUUAGACGAGGCUUCCCAUUGGUGCUGCAGGGGCGCUGCUGUGUGUGAGUCAAGGAAAAUAUUAGUGUUACCAA